This 265-nucleotide long non-coding RNA is filed under the name Homo sapiens (human). RNAcentral describes it as "HSALNT0185052". Lineage: Eukaryota; Metazoa; Chordata; Mammalia; Primates; Hominidae. The record is from RNAcentral.
AUCCCAUCCUGGGACUGGUUGGCCCCAACUCCGAGGCCUGUUCUUCCCUCAACUGCAGGGCCUACUUCACUGGAGAGGGCUUAGUCUUGACCUGCUCUUUCAUUUCUAGCCAAUUCUCCAACCUCAUUUCUCUUGACCUUGACAACUCUUUUGAAAAGGGUUGUCACCCAUGAUGUAUGUAUUAACCAAAGGACUGAUGAAGAGCUGGUGAUGGAGUGGGCCAGCUGAUGUUCCCUCCUCAGCCAGCCAGCCAGGGUGCCUAAGA